CCUAACACAUGCAAGUCGAACGGUAACAGGAAGCAGCUUGCUGCUUCGCUGACGAGUGGCGGACGGGUGAGUAAUGUCUGGGAAGCUGCCUGAUGGAGGGGGAUAACUACUGGAAACGGUAGCUAAUACCGCAUAAUGUCGCAAGACCAAAGAGGGGGACCUUCGGGCCUCUUGCCAUCGGAUGUGCCCAGAUGGGAUUAGCUUGUUGGUGGGGUAACGGCUCACCAAGGCGACGAUCCCUAGCUGGUCUGAGAGGAUGACCAGCCACACUGGAACUGAGACACGGUCCAGACUCCUACGGGAG
RNAcentral lists this ribosomal RNA (304 nucleotides) under uncultured bacterium. RNAcentral describes it as "bacterial SSU rRNA". It matches the Rfam family "Bacterial small subunit ribosomal RNA", at positions 47 to 347 of the family's 1533-position model. The record is from RNAcentral.